UCGUAGGUGACCUGCGGAAGGAUCAUUAAAGAAAAUACAUUACCACACAUACGAACAUAACAACAUUUGGCAGCUCGCUGCCAAAGGUAAAACCCAAUAACAUAAUUUGUCUAUUUUAACUAAUAAUUAAAACUUUCAACAACGGAUCUCUUGGUUCUCGCAUCGAUGAAGAACGCAGCGAAAUGCGAUAAGUAAUACGAAUUGCAGCCUUUGUGAAUCAUCGAAUCUUUGAACGCACAUUGCACCUUGAGGUAUUCCUCAAGGUAUGCCUGUUUGAGCGUCAGACUCCCUCAAACCCUUGGGUUUGGCAGUGAGUGCACGAACGUCUACUCGAAAAACAUACUGUUUCAUGUUCUAGGAUUACCCCACCAUGAUACACUAACCUUU
RNAcentral lists this unclassified non-coding RNA (387 nucleotides) under Suhomyces coccinellae. Its description in RNAcentral is "Suhomyces sp. CLIB 1706 sequence contains ITS1, 5.8S rRNA gene and ITS2". The stretch from base 131 to 283 matches the Rfam family "5.8S ribosomal RNA". The record is from RNAcentral. Lineage: Eukaryota; Fungi; Ascomycota; Pichiomycetes; Serinales; Debaryomycetaceae.